Eumeta japonica is the source of this 107-nucleotide non-coding RNA. The record is from the annotation of a GenBank genome assembly. NCBI's taxonomy places the organism in Eukaryota, Metazoa, Arthropoda, Insecta, Lepidoptera, Psychidae.
ACGCUCAUAUCAUGUUGAAUACGCCGGUUCUCGUCCGAUCACCGAAGUUAAGCAGCGACGAGCGCGGUCAGUACGUAAAAUUCGUGACCGCCUGGGAACAUUACGUG